RNAcentral lists this ribosomal RNA (427 nucleotides) under uncultured bacterium. RNAcentral's name for it is "bacterial SSU rRNA". It matches the Rfam family "Bacterial small subunit ribosomal RNA", at positions 355 to 775 of the family's 1533-position model. The record is from RNAcentral.
UCGAGAAUUUUUCACAAUGGGGGAAACCCUGAUGGAGCGACGCCGCGUGGGGGAUGAAUGGCUUCGGCCCGUAAACCCCUGUCAUUCGCGAACAAUGUUCCGGCAUUAACACCGCCGGGAUUGAUAGUAGCGGAAGAGGAAGGGACGGCUAACUCUGUGCCAGCAGCCGCGGUAAUACAGAGGUCCCGAGCGUUGUUCGGAUUCACUGGGCGUAAAGGGUGCGUAGGCGGUCGGGUAAGUCUGAUGUGAAAUCUCAGAGCUCAACUCUGAAACUGCAUUGGAUACUAUUCGGCUUGAGGUCUGGAGGGGGGACUGGAAUUCUCGGUGUAGCAGUGAAAUGCGUAGAUAUCGAGAGGAACACCAGUGGCGAAGGCGAGUCCCUGGACAGGUCCUGACGCUGAGGCACGAAAGCUAGGGGAGCAAACAG